CAUGUCGGUCCCGAGGCGGACUGUCCCCUCGCUGUGGGGCACUCGGAGUCUCGCCUGACGCCAUGUUCCUUUGGGCCGCUGCCGCCCGGGGCCUCUAGCUGCUGCCGCCCCUGCGUGUCCCCGCAGCCUGUAGAGCCGCAGUCGCCGGCCGGGAGCAGAGCCCGGCCAUGUCCGUCAAGGAGGGGAGCAAGGAGCCGCCGCUGCCUCUCGGCACCAGCGACCGGGCCGUUAAGGCUGUCCCUUUUCCACCAACACAUCACUUGACAUCUGAAGAAGUGUUUGAUAUAGAUGGAAAACCUAGGGUUGACAUUUUGAAGAACCACUUAGUAAAAGAAGGUCGGGUAGAUGAAGAAAUUGCACUUAGAAUCAUCAAUGAGGGUGCUGCAAUUCUACGAAGAGAGAAAACUAUGAUAGAAGUUGAAGCCCCAAUUACAGUGUGUGGUGAUAUUCAUGGCCAGUUCUUCGAUCUAAUGAAGCUGUUUGAAGUUGGAGGAUCACCAGCUAAUACAAGAUACCUCUUCCUUGGUGACUAUGUAGACAGAGGUUAUUUUAGUAUAGAGUGUGUGCUGUACUUAUGGGUCUUGAAGAUUCUGUAUCCAAAUACAUUAUUUCUUUUGAGAGGCAACCAUGAAUGUAGACACCUCACAGAAUAUUUUACCUUUAAGCAAGAAUGUAAAAUAAAGUAUUCAGAAAGAGUCUAUGAUGCUUGUAUGGAAGCUUUUGAUUGCCUCCCUCUUGCUGCACUUUUAAACCAACAGUUUCUUUGUGUUCAUGGUGGACUUUCACCAGAAAUAAACACACUAGAUGACAUUAAGAGACUAGAUAGAUUCAAAGAGCCUCCUGCAUUUGGACCAAUGUGUGACUUAUUGUGGUCAGAUCCCUCAGAAGAUUUUGGAAAUGAAAAAUCACAAGAACACUUCAGUCAUAAUACAGUCAGGGGAUGCUCAUAUUUUUAUAGCUAUCCAGCAGUUUGUGAAUUUUUGCAAAAUAAUAAUUUGUUGUCGAUAAUUAGAGCUCAUGAAGCACAAGAUGCAGGCUAUAGAAUGUACAGAAAAAGCCAAACUACAGGUUUCCCAUCAUUAAUAACAAUUUUUUCGGCACCUAAUUACUUGGAUGUCUACAAUAAUAAAGCUGCUGUGUUAAAAUAUGAAAAUAAUGUGAUGAAUAUUCGACAGUUCAAUUGUUCUCCGCAUCCUUAUUGGUUACCAAAUUUUAUGGAUGUCUUUACGUGGUCAUUGCCAUUUGUUGGAGAAAAAGUAACAGAAAUGUUGGUGAAUGUUCUGAGCAUUUGCUCUGAUGAUGAAUUAAUGACAGAGGGAGAAGAUCAAUUUGACGUAGGUACAGCUGCAGCACGAAAAGAAAUAAUCAGAAACAAAAUACGUGCAAUUGGCAAGAUGGCAAGAGUCUUCUCUGUUCUGAGGGAGGAGAGUGAAAGUGUGCUGACACUCAAGGGUUUGACUCCCACUGGAAUGUUACCUAGUGGAGUGUUGGCCGGAGGACGACAGACUCUGCAAAGUGAUGCAGUUUAACUGGAAAUAGUGAUGAACAAUCUGAACACAGAAGACCAAGUGACUGACAAAGAUCUCUAGUGGAAUGUCUCCAGCCAGGUGUGGCUAUUUUUCUUUUAAUUGGAGCUCUCUUGGCGCUCCUGCCGCAACUGGCCCCGCAUGCGGCAUUGGAACCGGCUAAGGCUCGCUGUGAAGGCAAGCCUGCCGGAAAGGCCUCGCAUAAGUCAAGAGAGCGCCGCCAAUCUCCAGAAUCAAGGCAGAGCCCUAGAUCGCCACGUCCUUGGUCUCCACAUUGGCCCAGGUCUCUGGCUCACCAAUAUGCACCGCGCUUCCGGUCUCCGCCUUCGCGCUGGAGCUUGCCCUUCACGGUCAUGACAGGAAAAAGACGAUCGCUCCACAGUCAGCAACGGUCGUCGUCGCACCGUCAGUCACUGUUGCCGAGACCUCAGGGAUGCUCCCCAACACGGUGCCACUCUCCAUGCUCCCAGCACUGGUUGGACCGUUCCUGGCACCGGUCACCUGCGGAGAUGGUUAGCUGCCAGACCCAGGCUUUGAUGGCCCCGCCCUGGUCACCGGAGGACGAGGACUUCUGCGGCUUGGAGAAGUAGUUCAACCCCUUGCCUAGACAGCAGUUCAAUUGGGCUCCGCAGAGUGCAUGUGCUGCGGCGAUGCCGACCUGGCAGCAAGGCUAGUGGCCGAUACAAUGGCCUUAUUGGAACACUUGGGGCAUACCUAUUAUGCAGGUGGCCCUAUCCCACCAGCCUUCUCUCGCUGUGUUGGACAAACCCAGGACAAAACCAGAGGCACCAGGAUCGGUGCAAUCACAAGCCUGCAAGGGUGCUGAGCACUGUUGGCCUCCACUGAAUUCAGAAGGAGUUGAAUGUUUUAUGUGUUGUACAGGAGCAGCUUAUUCAUCAGCAACAGCUGGCUGUAACUGACCCACCUUAAACUAGGGGUAUGUCUACAAAGAAACCUAGGUCAACAUACUGCGGUGGUGUGCAUCCUCACCAGGAACACUUUCACCCACCUAAGAGAGGCAGUGUGGGGAGCUGAGAGCCUGGUCGCUCUGCCAGGAGUGAGGGGGAAGCUGGCCUGGGCUUCUCAUGCCUGCUCCCCAAGCCAUGAAAUUGUCAAGGCUGCCCAGCUCCUGGCAAGCAGGAGGCCCCUCAGGCUUCUCGCCCCCUGGACUUCUUGCCCCAGCUCCAGGGGGGCGGAGGGGUGAAGCUUUCUUGUCAAUUACAUGGCAGGAAACAUGAAAUUGACAAGACAGCGGAUGUAAGGAACACAGUGUCUACACAAAUACUGCCUUGUCCCCAACUACACUGCCAUAAGCCUUACGUCUCUCGUGGUGGUGUAGUAGGGCACUUAUAUCGGUGGGAGGAUGGCUGUAGUGUAGACCAACUCUAGGUUUCCCAAAAAGUCUCACAUGCGAACCCUUUUCCACAAGUUGGUGUCUGCACACUUUUAAGGGGAACUGUCAAGUUAAAUCACUUAACAUUUUUCCAUGUUACUAAGACCUUCAGAUUUUCUUCCUACCAUUUAUGCUAAUGAUUCUACUUUGAGCAUUCCAUGGGUCUGGCCAUGCAAAAGGAAGUAUAGUUCGCCUUUUAGUACACAGCUUUGAGUUUAAACAUUCCCUUGCAGUGUUUUACAUUUGUUUAAGGCUACCCAAUAAUGGCUUUUUAAAAUAGCCUGUCCAGUCAUUUACCACAUAAAUAUUCAUUCAUCUGAGUAAAUUAGAUUUGGGAAGAUCUCAUC
This is an RNA transcript of Terrapene triunguis (Three-toed box turtle), 3266 nucleotides long. It is a transcript of the gene named protein phosphatase 3 catalytic subunit beta, with no coding region annotated. The record is from RefSeq and is a predicted model, not a curated record. The transcript has 14 exons. Lineage: Eukaryota; Metazoa; Chordata; Testudines; Emydidae.